GUAGACGCUGAAGUCUGGUGCUUGCACUAGACGGAUGAGUUGCGAACGGGUGAGUAACGCGUAGGUAACCUGCCUCAUAGCGGGGGAUAACUAUUGGAAACGAUAGCUAAUACCGCAUAACAGUAUUUACCGCAUGGUAGAUACUUGAAAGGAGCAAUUGCUUCACUAUGAGAUGGACCUGCGUUGUAUUAGCUAGUUGGUGGGGUAACGGCUCACCAAGGCUUCGAUACAUAGCCGACCUGAGAGGGUGAUCGGCCACACUGGGACUGAGACACGGCCCAGACUCCUACGGGAGGCAGCAGUAGGGAAUCUUCGGCAAUGGGGGCAACCCUGACCGAGCAACGCCGCGUGAGUGAAGAAGGUUUUCGGAUCGCAAAGCUCUGUUGUAAGAGAAGAACUGUGAGAAGAGUGGAAAGUUUCUCAUUUGACGGUAUCUUACCAGAAAGGGACGGCUAACUACGUGCCAGCAGCCGCGGUAAUACGUAGGUCCCGAGCGUUGUCCGGAUUUAUUGGGCGUAAAGCGAGCGCAGGCGGUUUGAUAAGUCUGAAGUAAAAGGCUGU
Molecule: ribosomal RNA, 561 nt
Filed under: uncultured bacterium
Lineage: Bacteria
Description: bacterial SSU rRNA
Rfam family: Bacterial small subunit ribosomal RNA
Source: RNAcentral